Long non-coding RNA from Equus caballus (horse), 3255 nucleotides. NCBI's taxonomy places the organism in Eukaryota, Metazoa, Chordata, Mammalia, Perissodactyla, Equidae. The record is from Ensembl.
AGGAAGGGGAAUUCAACCUCUGCUGGGUCUCCUGUGGGCGUGUUUUGAGCAAUUUUGAUCCUCACCUGUGUAAGAGGCAGACUGGGGCAGGGCUUUGCUCAGGCCUCAGGCAAGCCUUGGGAGGCCUGCGUGAGCAUGCGUGGAUGUGUGCGCCGGUGUGUUUUGGGAGGGGCAGAGGCGCAGCAAUCCUGUUUCAGUCCUCCAGACACUCACAGAUUGCCUCCCUUUCUAAAAUUCCUUUACUUUGUUGUAAGGCAAAGUGAUAGCAAUAAUUAUUUUUGCUUCUUGAGUGCCUACUUGUGCUGGGCAUUAUUUAGCCCUGGAAAGAACCUGUCUUCUCCUGGGAGUGAGCCAUGAGAGUUUCUGGAAUGCUGAGGCUGGUGCUGAGGGAGGUCACAGGGAAGGCCGGACAAAAGUAGGAAAAUGAAACAAUGGGAAGCACAUGAAAUCGAAGAUAUCACUGCUGUGUUCUCAGUGCCUAGAACAGUGCUUGGCACACAACAAGAACUCGGUGCAUAUUUACUGAAUGAAAAAAUAUGGACAGUUCACAAAAAAGGAAAUGCAAGUGAAUUUUACUUUCAAAUGUAUAUACGAAGCUGUUUCAUUGUUUCUAAUGGUGCCAUGAAUUUCCACUGGAUACCAUGUGCUGGAGUUCAUUUAACUGGUCCCCUAUCGAUGAACAUUUAUGUUGUUUCCAAUAGUGUGCUAUUACAAACACUGUUGCAUUCAUGGGGAAAGAAUAAUCUGCUCAACAAUGGUAUUGGAAGAAUUGGAUAUUCAAAUACAAAAAACUGAACCUUGACUGCUACCUCAACAUAAUCAGAAAUUAACUUGUCAUGGAUCACAGAUCUAAAUGUCAAGCCUAAGGCUGUCAAACUUCCAGAAGAAAACAUGGGAGAAAAUCUUUGUGUCCUUGGCUCAGGCAGAGAUUUUUUAGAUAUGACACAAAAAACUUCAGCCAUAAAGGAACCAAAUGACAAACUGGACUUCAUCAAAAUUAAAAAUUUCAGCUCUUCAGAGGACACCAUUAAAAGAAUGAAAAGACAAGGCACAGAAAAUAUUUGCAAAGCACAUAGCUGACAAGGGACUUAUAUCCAGAAUACAUAAAGAACUCUCAAAAGUGUAUGGUAAGAAAAACAGCCCUCUCCAGGCAGCCUGGUCCCUCGAGGGGCUGCGGCUUGUGUUCUCUUAGAGACCUGCUGCAAACAGUUAUGUCAUUCAUUCAUGCAACAAAUAUUUGUUGAGCAUCUACUCUGGGCCAGACUUGAUUCAGGUGCUGGGGAUACAGCAGUGUACAAAACAGUCAUGGAGCACUCAUUCUUGUAGGAGGAGAUGGGCAAAAACACGUGAACAGAUUGAUAUCUGAUAGUAAUCUACAAAGAGUUAAGUUUUCCAGAUAAUUCGCAUCUUUAAUUAACAUUUUCCAUGGCCACUGAGAAGGGACAGGAGCCUCAAUAACUUGAGAUAGUCUUUCAAGUUGGUAGACGUCCACAGGCACAUGAAGGCACUCUUUCUUCCAUCCUCAUUUAUCACAGAUAUUUGAUAACACACACUCCUUGAGUAUUGUCCUCGGAACUAGUGGCUGCCAAGCAAAGCAAAAUUUAAGCACCUUGAACGGAGAGUACAACACAUGAAUGUACUUCAGUGUGUUUAAAAAUCUAUGUCUAAAAUGGCCUAUGCGCAUCUAUAUUUUGCCAGAUUUCUUACAUACACCACAAUCAAGGACGCAUAGCAGGCAGCAUGAUUUAGGGUUUAACUCCUUGAUUUGGAACUCUUUAAUGUAGCCUUGCGUGUUUUGAUGCUAGAUGAUGACAUCUUUAGAUCACCCUCAGAAAGAUCAAGGUCCAUUUAGUUCAAGCCUUUAUUACUCACCUCGAGGCCAACCUAUGUGUCAUUCAUGGAAACAGAAACAUCACUUCCGAUCCUACCACUCUUCAGGUGCCAGGAGAUUCCCAGGGGAAAGCUGCUUCCCCAGGGGAAAAAAUAGAUGGUAAUGGCCUCUGUUUUUCUGUAGGCAUUGGCACAUGGUGUUUGGCUAGGAAAGCUGCUUGGGGAUUUAAAGUCUGCAGUUCCAACAGCACCUAGAUAUCACUUUAAAAAGGUUAGAAUUUAUUCCAAUUGCUACUUACGCUACGUGCACACCUCCUGAGUCUGGGUAUCCAAGAGCAGGAGCAGGCACCUUCCUGCUGACUUCCACUGACCCCUUGGGAAUGUCCAGUCUAAUGGACACAUGGCAAUUAUAUGAGAAGCCUCCACACUUAACUUAAGCCACGUGGGCCCAACCCAUCUAAUCCCUGCAAAGGUGAAUGUUUUGAUUAUCCCAGGAAAGACUGGAAGUGGAGACGCAAAAAGAGGGUUUUGGAGAUCUCUGGUAAUCAGUGACUACUUACCCCCUCCAUGGGGCCAUGCCGUCCGUAUGCUAUAUAGAACCACUUCCUUGGACUUGCACAUCUGUCUGUAUAGAGAAUCCCCUCAUUGGACUGGUAUGUCUCUGUGAUACAAGGGAACUACCUGGUGGUAAAUUAGCAUCUGCUUUCGUCACUUCUGUCCCCUUAUCCUCUUUUAUUUUUCUUUAUAGCACUUCUCAUUACCUGAAAAAUUGUUGCUUGUUUGUUCGUUUUUCUAUAAGUAUUUCCCCUCACUAAGAGCUCAGCUCCUCAGCAGCAGGGACUUUUAUUUGUUCACUAAUGUCCCCCCACUAUUUAGGACAGUGCCUGGCACAGAGUAAGUGCUCAAGAAAUAUUCUUGAAGGAAGAAAGGAUGGAUGGAAGGGAGAGAGAGAAGGAGGGAGGGAGGGAGAGAAGAAGGAAGGAAGGAAUCCUGUUAACUAAGCGGGCUCUCUCAUCUUUUCACUUCUCACUGGCCAGGCUUGGUAGACCAAAGGCCAGAAUUUGGCCUAUGGAGUUGCCAAAUCCCUGCUAGAACCAUCUGCAUUCUAUUCCCUCUGAAGCUCCUCCCCUUUGGUGUCAGAUGCCUGCAAGAUAUUGCUGCCCCAUUGUGCAGAUGAGGAAAAACAGAUGUCAUAGCACAAAAGAGAACCUCACUCCUUGAGGUUUCUGCAAAUGACUCCCCAGUGGCUGUGCAGGCAAGAAUGCCUAUCUUUCUAGAAAACACUUUCUUUCUCAUGCUGCAUUUCUUCCCUUAUUAACUCUCCAAAGCUAUGAGUUUGGGCUGCCCCCACUGUGAGCUCUCAGAUGUUGACUGACUAGCUAAAUUAUGCUAUUGAUGUGGCUUAAUUAAUACUAAUGACUUAUC